ACAGCUUUGGUCCUGGGCUUACCGUUAUUUUUUAUUAAGAUUAUACAUGCAAGCCUCAACAAUCCAGUGGAAAUGCCCAUAACCCCUUAAAAGAUGAAAUGGAGCAGGCAUCAGGCACUAUUAUUAAGCCCAUAACGCCUAGCCACGCCACACCCCCACGGGCUUACCAGCAGUAAUAAACAUUGGGCUAUAAGUGAAAACUUGACCCAGCUAUGAUAAUUUAGGGCUGGUCAAUUUCGUGCCAGCCACCGCGGUUAUCGAAAGGCCAAAAUAACGAAAAACCGGCGUAAAAUGUGACUAGAGAAUAUAAUAUUUUAAAUAUCAAAAUUCAUAAUCUAGUUGUAAAACACUCAGAUAAUGAAGAAAACCACCACAGAUAUUUUUAUAUUAUACUCUUGACCACACGAAAGCUUAGAAACAAACUAGGAUUAGAUACCCUACUAUGCUAAGCCCUGAACAUCGAUAGUUACCUAUACAGUACUUUCCGCCAGAGAACUACAAGUGAAAAACUUGAAACUCAAAGGACUUGACGGUGUCCCAUAUCGG
This 546-nucleotide ribosomal RNA is filed under the name Podarcis pityusensis. RNAcentral's name for it is "partial 12S ribosomal RNA". It matches the Rfam family "Bacterial small subunit ribosomal RNA", at positions 9 to 929 of the family's 1533-position model. Lineage: Eukaryota; Metazoa; Chordata; Lepidosauria; Squamata; Lacertidae. The record is from RNAcentral.